GCCUGAUGUUCAUAUGAUGAAAUCAUAAUCUUUCAGUCAGUUUAAUUGAAGUCUGGAGCUGGCAUGUCAACUAACUGCUAGUAGUCUGUUGUUAUUUAUGUAUUAUUGUCAUUUUGUUUAUUUUCUUUGGUUACAUCUUCUGACAUCAGACUCGUACUUCUCUUGAACUGAAUUUUAAUGUGCGUAUUGUUAUGCGUUUACUUUUCUACAUUGGCUAGAGAUAUAGGGGAGGGUUGAGAUCUCACAAACAUGUUUAACUCCGCCGCAUUUUUGCGCCUGUCCCAAGUCAGGAGCCUCUGGCCUUUGUUAGUCUUGUAUUAUUUUAAUUUUAGUUUCUUGUGUACAAUUUGGAAAUUAGUAUGACGUUCAUUAUCACUGAACUAGUAUAUAUUUGUUUAGGGGCCAGUUGCAGGACGCCUCCGGGUGCGGGAAUUUCUCGCUACAUUGAAGACCUGUUGGUGACCUUCUGCUGUUGUUUUUUUCUAUGGUCGGGUUGUUGUCUCUUUGGCACAUUCCCCAUUUCCAUUCUCAAUUUUA
Molecule: long non-coding RNA, 537 nt
Filed under: Mytilus galloprovincialis (Mediterranean mussel)
Lineage: Eukaryota; Metazoa; Mollusca; Bivalvia; Mytilida; Mytilidae
Source: RNAcentral